GACGAACGCUGGCGGCGUGCUUAACACAUGCAAGUCGAACGGAAAGGCCCUGCUUGCAGGGUGCUCGAGUGGCGAACGGGUGAGUAACACGUGGGUGAUCUGCCCCUUACUUUGGGAUAAGCCUGGGAAACUGGGUCUAAUACUGGAUAGGACCAUGCUGUAGGUGGUGUGGUGGAAAGAUUAGUUUCGGUAAGGGAUGAGCUCGCGGCCUAUCAGCUUGUUGGUGUGGUAAUGGCCUACCAAGGCGUCGACGGGUAGCCGGCCUGAGAGGGUGGACGGCCACAUUGGGACUGAGAUACGGCCCAGACUCCUACGGGAGGCAGCAGUGGGGAAUAUUGCACAAUGGGCGCACGCCUGAUGCCGCGACGCCGCGUGGGGGAUGACGGCCUUCGGGUUGUAAACUCCUUUCAGCCAUGACGAAGCCCUUGUGGUGACGGUAGUGGUAGAAGAAGCACCGGCUAACUACGUG
RNAcentral lists this ribosomal RNA (469 nucleotides) under uncultured bacterium. Its description in RNAcentral is "partial 16S ribosomal RNA". It matches the Rfam family "Bacterial small subunit ribosomal RNA", at positions 28 to 507 of the family's 1533-position model. The record is from RNAcentral.